Syngnathus typhle (broad-nosed pipefish) is the source of this 397-nucleotide long non-coding RNA. RefSeq lists it as uncharacterized. The record is from RefSeq and is a predicted model, not a curated record. Lineage: Eukaryota; Metazoa; Chordata; Actinopteri; Syngnathiformes; Syngnathidae. The transcript has 2 exons.
GUCGGGGACUGCAAGAGAAACAAAAGUGGAGGCUCAGUCGCGACAUUUCACCCUGCUAUCGGGAAAAUAUGCAUAGACUCGCACACCCCAUUCCAGAGAGCUUUGCGUAAUAAUGCGCAGGAGAAGAAGCAGAAGAGUGAUGCAAUUGCAUCCGAAAAGAUUGAGCACGCUUACAUUCACUCGUGACCAUAAAGGAAGCUUCCUGCUGCCCGAUGACAUUAUCGAUCAGGAUGUACUCAGCCUGGCAAGUGAUCCAAACAAUCCUCCUGAAAACUGCCUGAUGUUCUCCGUCAAUUAGAAGAAUAUGAUCCAGGGGCAAAUGUGGAGGGAUGUGGGGCGAUGGAGAAGAAUGACACCCUGCAAGUCGUCCUGCAGCCCCUUGUUUGUGUGCAGGGGU